UGCAUCGGCCGGGAAUCGAACCCGGGCCGACCGCGUGGAAGGCGAGCAUUCUACCACUGAAUCACCGAUGG
Molecule: transfer RNA, 71 nt
Filed under: Cordylochernes scorpioides
Lineage: Eukaryota; Metazoa; Arthropoda; Arachnida; Pseudoscorpiones; Chernetidae
Description: tRNA-Gly
Source: RNAcentral